AAGCAAGAAAGAUAGAUAUAAUUUCAGCAGAUGCAAAUUGCCAUGCUAUAAUGCUACAGGUAUAAGAAAGGCUACAAAUACCUAAAUGGCAUCCUCUUUACUCAGCCUCUUCUGCAUCUGGUCUCUGUAAUCACAAGGGGGGAAAGCCUAAGCUGAGGCUAGCUCAGCCAGAGACAAGCCUGAGGAUAUGCCAGCUGUGACACUGGAAAAUCAAAGCAACUGUGGCUCAUGAGAUGAAUAGGUUCCUCACCUGUAACAAUGUUUCUUUGAGUGGUCUUCCAUGCAUUCACAUGUAUAGCAUUGCAUCUACACAGAGACUAGUCCCAGACCUUGUAAGAGCCUAAGGAGAGAAAUUUUUGAUGGUAACCCCACCCCCUCUCUAGCUCUUUAGAGGCUCUCCCACCCAAAUCUCCUCAGUUGGAGCCACCACUGCAGAUCCCGUAACAGGAAGUUAAAUAGGCUGCAGUGGGGAGGGAGAGUUGUGUGAAUGCAUAAAAGGCAACUCAAAGAAACAUUGUUACAAGUGAGUAAACUCUUCUUCUUCCUCUUCUUCUAUCAUCACAUGUAUGGGAAAUAGCAAGAGUCUUACUUUAAGACAAGGAGAUGGGGCAGCCUUGCCUAGCUGUGACAGCAGUCUGGAGCACCAUGGAACCAAAGAUGGCAUCCCUUCUAGCCUGCAGCUCCACGGCUCUGAAGAUAGUACACUGAGACCAGGUCGCGGUUCUGCUGAUUGCGUCUAGAAGAACACCCUCAAGGAACACUGCAGAAGUUGCCAUGGGCCUGGUGGAAUGGGCGUUUAGAAAAGCAGGUGUCUGAGAAUCCAGAAAGAACACCAGGAGCAAUAUUUCUUGGGAAUCAGGGAACUGAGACACGACCUUGAUCAAGAAGUUGCUGUCAGGAGUUAAAGAGACCUUAUCCACAUGAAAGCAGGAAACUGGUACAGAGAACAAGAAACAUGAUGUGACGAGAUGGCCAUGAGAUGUACCUUCAAUGAAGCAAUGGACAGUCCUGAACACUUCAGGUGCAACAGGUAUGAUGCGUAGAAGGCCUGAGGACAUUGUGGAACAUGGAUUGGACAGUUGCAGCAGCCUGUGAGGGGCUGAUCACUGCAGGUCGCAAGGUUGUAGUCGCCAUACUGUCAGAGAAAGCACUGAAAAGUUUGGAUACUGGAUAUUGAUUUCCAGAUCUCCAGAAGAGUCAGCAGAUCUGGACGGCCUGGCAACCAAAGUGAACUCCCCUCCCAAGCCCAUGUCUGGUGUGUGGGAGAAUGCAUUUUGAGGAGGCCAUUAGUCCCAGAGUGCACUGAAUCUGGAACGCAGUGGCCCAGGGUGCUGAUGCGAGAUGAGUGGCAGCAGUAAUGAUGUCGAUUCGCCCCAGCGGUAGUAAGGCAGCACCAAGGUUGUCCCAGUCUCAAAUGAGCAUGGAGUGCAGCCAUGCUGGAGACAGAAGCCACAGUAAGCGCUCUUCCCAGAGCAGAGGAAGCAGUCCAGGCUACCCUUUUCACUGUGAAGGACUGCACUCCCAAUGCCCUUUCCCACAGGAGUGAGUGAAGGCGGGAGGCCUGGUUACGGCAAGUCUGUCACAUAAAACUUUGGCAAACUGAGCAGGCCUCCACUCAGUGCCAUCCCCCCAGGCAAGAGAAACUCCUUGAAUGGCAAUCCAAGAGGAUACAGAACAGAUGCCUGCACCUGAACUGAGCUUUUCAGGAAGGAAGUCUGAAGAACUAGUCUCCCUUGAUUAACCUGCUACAUUACAGUAUUACAGAGGCAGCGGCGAUGCCACCUUCUCUUCUCCCCCUAGCCCCCCCAUCUACAAACAGGAAGAGGGCCAGCCCCCGCAACGAGCCUCAGUGAGGUGGGAACCCCCUGCUGCUGCUCAGGCUCAGCCUGGUCUUCCUCGCUAGUGGCCUCUAAUUUCGCUUCUCUCGUUGUCUGGGGCACAAAAGCUUCUGACUAUGGAGAAAAGGAGAUAGCUCAAUCGUAUAGCUGGAAUACUUGAUUGUAAGCAUUAUUAGCUCAAAUACAAAUGAGCCAGUAUUGAUUGUC
This is a long non-coding RNA of Hemicordylus capensis (graceful crag lizard), 2045 nucleotides long. RefSeq lists it as uncharacterized. The record is from RefSeq and is a predicted model, not a curated record. The transcript is spliced from 8 exons. Lineage: Eukaryota; Metazoa; Chordata; Lepidosauria; Squamata; Cordylidae.